RNAcentral lists this long non-coding RNA (1238 nucleotides) under Helianthus annuus (common sunflower). RNAcentral's name for it is "hypothetical non coding rna". The record is from RNAcentral. Lineage: Eukaryota; Viridiplantae; Streptophyta; Magnoliopsida; Asterales; Asteraceae.
UGUUGCGAUUAGAAGUAUGUACAGAGCCCCCAACGUCCAAAUUUGCAAACUGAGAAACCCUAGCUCCAUCCAAAUUAGCAAAAUUCGCUGAAAAAUUUCUUGAACCAUCACCACCAUAACCUGGUUGCCAUCGAGCACCACCAUGGUUGUUCCAUUGUCCAUAUCGGCCGGACGACCACCAUGGCGACCACGGCCGCCUCUCCACUAGUACGGAAACGACCACCGGAAAAAGUAUUCGGAGCAAAUCUAUGAUAACAAUUUGAAGCCUUGUGACCUAUUUUGUCACAGAUCUGACAAACAAUAGUGGAUUGCGAUCUAGAAGUCUGGUCAUAAUGUGGUGGCUUGACGUUUAACGCAGCCAUGGCAGCAAUCGAUAUAGUCGAAGAAUGAUGAUUCUGAUGUUGUUUUAGAUGUGCUUCAUGCGUUAAGAGUUUAGCUCGAAGUUGAGAAUAGGUUAACUUUGUGUCAUUAGUUUCAAUGUUUGUAACGAACAUCUGAAAUUCAGGAUUCAAUCCAUUGAGAAUUUGAAGAAUUAAUGCAUGUUCAGUUAUCGGAUCUCCAACAGUUUGAAGAGAACCAUAUAAAUUCUUUGCAGAAUCACAAAAUUCAAUCUGAAGAAGGAACUGUACCUCGAGCAAGAUGAAUUAAAGAUGGAGAUAAAUUUGCUGUAAGAAAUGCAGAUCAAAUCCAAGCUUCUCUGGCUUCAACUUCAAUUAGAGGAUCUAUUUCACGAUUAAGAUGUUUCAGGAGACCAAGUGUCUUCAAAAUUAUUUGAUGAACUUCCAUUCAUUGUUGAAGAUGUGGCUAACUGAGUACUAAAAUCGGAAGAUGUUGACAUGAGAAGAAAACAGAGGAAGAAUGAAAGAAAGAGAGUUGAAAUAGAGAUACAAAGUUUCCCGGAAAAGUCACCGGAGAUGACGAAGUUUCACCGGAAACGUCACCGGAGAGUAACUGUCAUAAGAGCUGAGAUGGCAUGGCUCUGAUAUCAUAAAGAGAGCUAUAAAAGUUCAACGCAAUCGAAGGAAAUCAUGAAAAACAAGAAGAUAAAGGAAGAUUGAACAAAAGAAAACGAAAAGGCAGAGAAAGAUAUUAUGCUCAAAAGGAUCACAAACAUUGAACAUUGUCUCAAACCAUACUUUAUUUUGAAUUUUUAAGUUAGAAUAACUCUAGUAUUUGACAUUAUGAUUUGUAAUUUUAACUGGAAUGUUUUAUACAAUUUUAAAUUUACAUACAUGUUU